UGCUGCAUUGAUUGGCAUCGCAGUCUACUACAUGCGCCAAAGUAUAACUGAAGAUAUUAUUGACGUUGGUAUCUGAAGUAUCGCAAUCUUGGAAUUGGAAAAAAGCUUCAUCAAGACUCUGGCUGGAGGGGAGCAGUAUAAUUAAGGGCACUGGUCUCAUGCCUGAUCAUCGAUAACACUGGAUCUUCGUUAGUGUGUAAAUUUCAGAUGCAGUGUUUCUAAGAUGCAGGUUAUACGUGAAAAAAUUGAACAUAAUGGCAAGCAGUUGCAGCAAGGGAUAAUAUUUUCAAGAGGAUUCCAUGGAACAAAAUAGAAGAUUUUUAUUAAUUAGUCCAGCCAAAAUUUGAUUUAGUAGUAGGGCAUAA
Molecule: long non-coding RNA, 365 nt
Organism: Nasonia vitripennis (jewel wasp)
Lineage: Eukaryota; Metazoa; Arthropoda; Insecta; Hymenoptera; Pteromalidae
Exons: 3
Source: RefSeq, a predicted model, not a curated record